CGAGUGUAGAGGUGAAAUUCGUAGAUAUUCGGUGGAACACCAGUGGCGAAGGCGACUAACUGGACUGAUACUGACGCUGAGGUGCGAAAGUGUGGGGAGCAAACAGGAUUAGAUACCCUGGUAGUCCACACCGUAAACGAUGAAUGCCAGUCGUCGGGUAGUAUACUAUUCGGUGACACACCUAACGGAUUAAGCAUUCCGCCUGGGGAGUACGGUCGCAAGAUUAAAACUCAAAG
This 236-nucleotide ribosomal RNA is filed under the name Thalassiosira minuscula. RNAcentral's name for it is "partial Bacterial small subunit ribosomal RNA". It matches the Rfam family "Bacterial small subunit ribosomal RNA", at positions 670 to 906 of the family's 1533-position model. Lineage: Eukaryota; Bacillariophyta; Thalassiosirophyceae; Thalassiosirales; Thalassiosiraceae. The record is from RNAcentral.